RNAcentral lists this ribosomal RNA (255 nucleotides) under uncultured bacterium. RNAcentral's name for it is "partial 16S ribosomal RNA". It matches the Rfam family "Bacterial small subunit ribosomal RNA", at positions 76 to 334 of the family's 1533-position model. The record is from RNAcentral.
UCAAACUGGAGAUGGCGACCGGCGCACGGUGAGUAACACGUAUCCAACCUGCCGAUAACUCGGGGAUAGCCUUUCGAAAGAAAGAUUAAUACCCGAUGGUAUAAUAAAACCGCAUGGUUUAAUUAUUAAAGAAUUUCGGUUAUCGAUGGGGAUGCGUUCCAUUAGGCAGUUGGUGAGGUAACGGCUCACCAAACCUUCGAUGGAUAGGGGUUCUGAGAGGAAGGUCCCCCACAUUGGAACUGAGACACGGUCCAA